UGAAAAAGUUGGUGGUGAAAUCCCAGAGCUUAACUCUGGAACUGCCAUCAAAACUUUUCAGCUAGAGUAUGAUAGAGGAAAGCAGAAUUUCUAGUGUAGAGGUGAAAUUCGUAGAUAUUAGAAAGAAUACCAAUUGCGAAGGCAGCUUUCUGGAUCAUUACUGACACUGAGGAACGAAAGCAUGGGUAGCGAAGAGGAUUAGAUACCCUCGUAGUCCAUGCCGUAAACGAUGUGUGUUAGACGUUGGAAAUUUAUUUUCAGUGUCGCAGCGAAAGCGAUAAACACACCGCCUGGGGAGUACGACCGCAAGGUUAAAACUCAAAUGAAUUGACGGGGACCCGCACAAGUAGUGGAGCAUGUGGUUUAAUUCGAAGAUACGCGCAGAACCUUACCAACACUUGACAUGUUCGUCGCGACUCUAAGAGAUUAGAGUUUUCGGUUCGGCCGGACGAAACACAGGUGCUGCAUGGCUGUCGUCAGCUCGUGUCGUGAGAUGUUGGGUUAAGUCCCGCAACGAGCGCAACCCUCACUUUUAGUUGCCAUCAUUAAGUUGGGCACUCUGAAAGAACUGCCAGUGAUAAGCUGGAGGAAGGUGGGGAUGACGUCAAGUCCUCAUGGCCCUUACGUGUUGGGCUACACACGUGCUACAAUGGUAUCUACAACAGGAAGCAAGACUGCGAGGUCAA
Molecule: ribosomal RNA, 686 nt
Filed under: uncultured bacterium
Lineage: Bacteria
Description: bacterial SSU rRNA
Rfam family: Bacterial small subunit ribosomal RNA
Source: RNAcentral